CUAGCAUGUGCGCAAGUCAUUGGGUAUUUAUAAUAAACCUAAAGGCGUAAUGAAAGUAAAUAUAUAUAUAAUUUUUAUAAUUAUAUUUUAUAAAGGGAAGAUGGGUAACGUUAUUUAUGUUACCUCGCAUUCCCGGGGCGUCGCAUACUUAUUGCAAGUUGCGGCGCACCAAGAGCGUACACGCUGGGACCCGAAAGAUGGUGAACUAUGCCUGGUCAGGAUGAAGUCAGGGGAAACCCUGAUGGAGGUCCGUAGCGAUUCUGACGUGCAAAUCGAUCGUAUGAACUGGGUAUAGGGGCGAAAGACUAAUCGAACCAUC
Molecule: ribosomal RNA, 319 nt
Filed under: Blackburnia fordi
Lineage: Eukaryota; Metazoa; Arthropoda; Insecta; Coleoptera; Carabidae
Description: eukaryotic LSU rRNA
Rfam family: Eukaryotic large subunit ribosomal RNA
Source: RNAcentral